RNAcentral lists this ribosomal RNA (404 nucleotides) under Deltaproteobacteria bacterium. RNAcentral's name for it is "partial 23S ribosomal RNA". It matches the Rfam family "Bacterial large subunit ribosomal RNA", at positions 2532 to 2925 of the family's 2925-position model. The record is from RNAcentral. Lineage: Bacteria; Pseudomonadati; Myxococcota; Myxococcia.
UCGGCUCAUCGCAUCCUGGGGCUGGAGCAGGUCCCAAGGGUUUGGCUGUUCGCCAAUUAAAGCGGUACGUGAGCUGGGUUUAGAACGUCGUGAGACAGUUCGGUCCCUAUCUUUUGUGGGCGCAGGAUAUUUGAGAGGAUCUUUCCCUAGUACGAGAGGACCGGGAUGGACGAACCUCUAGUGUUCCAGUUGUCGCGCCAGCGGCAUUGCUGGGUAGCUACGUUCGGAAUGGAUAACCGCUGAAAGCAUCUAAGCGGGAAGCCAACCUCAAGAUAAGAUAUCCCUUUCUGCUCUUCGGAGCAGAGCUGAAGACCCCUUGUAGACUACAAGGUUGAUAGGCCAGGUGUGUAAGUGUGGUAACACAUUCAGCUAACUGGUACUAAUAGGUCGUGAGGCUUGGCCAU